This 201-nucleotide unclassified non-coding RNA is filed under the name fungal sp. RNAcentral describes it as "partial internal transcribed spacer region". The stretch from base 1 to 46 matches the Rfam family "Eukaryotic small subunit ribosomal RNA", at positions 1786 to 1831 of the family's 1831-position model. Lineage: Eukaryota; Fungi. The record is from RNAcentral.
AAGUCGUAACAAGGUUUCCGUAGGUGAACCUGCGGAAGGAUCAUUAACACGUAUCCAACGUUAAAACCCCCCCGUGAACCUUCACUGUGCUCGUACGCUUUGUUAGAAAGUAGCAAUCCCUGGUAAAUCAUCGCCGAACAGUUUUGAUUCAGGGACUUCUGCGAAGAGUGUGCUUGUAGCGCGAGGCGAUGAAGAACGCAG